AUCCAGCUGACCAGUCCCAAGUAGGACGAAACGCGCAUCCUGGAU
Molecule: non-coding RNA, 45 nt
Filed under: Schistosoma mansoni
Lineage: Eukaryota; Metazoa; Platyhelminthes; Trematoda; Strigeidida; Schistosomatidae
Source: RNAcentral